CUACCAUGCAGUCGAGCGGCAGCGGAAGUAGCUUGCUACUUUGCCGGCGAGCGGCGGACGGGUGAGUAAUGUCUGGGAAACUGCCUGAUGGAGGGGGAUAACUACUGGAAACGGUAGCUAAUACCGCAUAAUGUCGCAAGACCAAAGAGGGGGACCUUCGGGCCUCUUGCCAUCAGAUGUGCCCAGAUGGGAUUAGCUAGUAGGUGGGGUAACGGCUCACCUAGGCGACGAUCCCUAGCUGGUCUGAGAGGAUGACCAGCCACACUGGAACUGAGACACGGUCCAGACUCCUACGGGAGGCAGCAGUGGGGAAUAUUGCACAAUGGGCGCAAGCCUGAUGCAGCCAUGCCGCGUGUAUGAAGAAGGCCUUCGGGUUGUAAAGUACUUUCAGCGGGGAGGAAGGCGAUAAGGUUAAUAACCUUGUCGAUUGACGUUACCCGCAGAAGAAGCACCGGCUAACUCCGUGCCAGCAGCCGCGGUAAUACGGAGGGUGCAAGCGUUAAUCGGAAUUACUGGGCGUAAAGCGCACGCAGGCGGUCUGUCAAGUCGGAUGUGAAAUCCCCGGGCUCAACCUGGGAACUGCAUUCGAAACUGGCAGGCUAGAGUCUUGUAGAGGGGGGUAGAAUUCCAGGUGUAGCGGUGAAAUGCGUAGAGAUCUGGAGGAAUACCGGUGGCGAAGGCGGCCCCUGGACAAAGACUGACGCUCAGUGCGAAAGCGUGGGAGCAAACAGGAUUAGAUACCCUGGUAGUCCAACGCCGUAAACGAUGGUCGACUUGGA
RNAcentral lists this ribosomal RNA (779 nucleotides) under uncultured bacterium. Its description in RNAcentral is "bacterial SSU rRNA". It matches the Rfam family "Bacterial small subunit ribosomal RNA", at positions 49 to 822 of the family's 1533-position model. The record is from RNAcentral.